GACGAACGCUGGCGGCGUGCUUAACACAUGCAAGUCGAGCGGUAAGGCUCCUUCGGGAGUACACGAGCGGCGAACGGGUGAGUAACACGUGAGUAACCUGCCCCUUUCAUCGGAAUAACCAGUGGAAACGCUGGCUAAUGCCGAAUACGACCACCGAAGGCAUCUUCUGGUGGUGGAAAGCUCCGGCGGAAAGGGAUGGACUCGCGGCCUAUCAGCUUGUUGGUGAGGUAAUGGCUCACCAAGGCAACGACGGGUAGCCGGCCUGAGAGGGUGACCGGCCACACUGGGACUGAGACACGGCCCAGACUCCUACGGGAGGCAGCAGUGGGGAAUAUUGGACAAUGGGCGAAAGCCUGAUCCAGCAACGCCGCGUGAGGGAUGAC
Molecule: ribosomal RNA, 383 nt
Filed under: uncultured bacterium
Lineage: Bacteria
Description: bacterial SSU rRNA
Rfam family: Bacterial small subunit ribosomal RNA
Source: RNAcentral